UCAGACGAUGCGUCAUGCAUAUCAAUAAGCGGAGGAAAAGAAACUAACAAGGAUUCCCCUAGUAACGGCGAGUGAAGCGGGAAGAGCUCAAAUUUGAAAUCUUAAAGGGUUUCCCUUUACGAAUUGUAGUUUAAAGAAGUGUUUUCUGUUGAGGUUUUGGUAAAAGUUCUUUGGAAUAGGACAUCAUAGAGGGUGAGAAUCCCGUAUUUGACCUUUACUUUCAACUUUGUGAUACACUUUCAAAGAGUCGGAUUGUUUGGGAAUGCAGUCCAAAAUGGGUGGUAAAUUUCAUCUAAAGCUAAAUAUUGGCGAGAGACCGAUAGCGAACAAGUACCGUGAGGGAAAGAUGAAAAGAACUUUGAAAAGAGAGUUAAACAGUACGUGAAAUUGUCAAAAGGGAAGCGUUUGACACCAGUGUUGUUUUUCUGAAAAUCAAUUAAAGAACUGUUUAUGCUAAGUUGUUUAGACUUUAUCAGCUAACUGUUUAGUUUUGAGCUUUUCUUUAAUGCACUUUUCAGUUAACAAGUCAACAUCCAAUUUCUUUUGCUGUAAAAAAGCUUGAGGAAGGUGGCUUGAGAUUCGUCUUAAGUGUUUAUAGCCUCUUGCCUAUGCAGUCGGAGAGAUUGAGGUCUGCAGCGUAGAUCCUUCGGGGCUAAAUGCAUUUGUGCUAAGUUAUAGCAUUUUAUAGACAACUUGUUGACUAUGAUUUGUCUUGUAGCUUACUCGCUUAUGUUAUUUUACCUACGCUUAGGAUGUUGAGCGCAUGUCUCUCUCU
RNAcentral lists this ribosomal RNA (775 nucleotides) under uncultured Neocallimastigales. RNAcentral describes it as "partial large subunit ribosomal RNA". It matches the Rfam family "Eukaryotic large subunit ribosomal RNA", at positions 18 to 616 of the family's 3401-position model. Lineage: Eukaryota; Fungi; Neocallimastigomycota; Neocallimastigomycetes; Neocallimastigales. The record is from RNAcentral.